GACGAACGCUGGCGGCGUGCUUAACACAUGCAAGUCGAACGGAAAGGCCCUGCUUUUGUGUCUUUCUUGAUUGGCGAGCGGGUGAGUAACACGUGAGUAACAUCCCCUUGUAUUUGGGAUAACUUCAGGAAACUCGGGCUCUUACCGGAUAGGAUCUCCUGCAGCAUAGUGGUGAUUGGAAAGUUUCGGCGGUUUUGGAUGGACUCGCUGCUUAUCCGCUUCUUGGUGGAGUAGUUACUUACAAAGGCUGUGACGGCUAGCCGGCCUGAGAGAGUUAACGGCCACAAUGGUACUGAGAGACGGAGCAGUCGGGUACGGGAGGCAGCAGGCGGGAACAUGACACAACGGGCGGAAGUGUGAUGUAGCAGCGCCGCGUGCGGGAUGACGUCUUUCGGGGUGUAAACCGCUUUCGCCUGUGACGAAGAGAGAGUGACGGUAAUGGGUAAAGAAGCACCGGCUAACUACGUG
RNAcentral lists this ribosomal RNA (468 nucleotides) under uncultured bacterium. RNAcentral describes it as "partial 16S ribosomal RNA". It matches the Rfam family "Bacterial small subunit ribosomal RNA", at positions 28 to 507 of the family's 1533-position model. The record is from RNAcentral.